RNAcentral lists this ribosomal RNA (253 nucleotides) under uncultured bacterium. Its description in RNAcentral is "partial 16S ribosomal RNA". It matches the Rfam family "Bacterial small subunit ribosomal RNA", at positions 524 to 776 of the family's 1533-position model. The record is from RNAcentral.
UACGUAGGGGGCAAGCGUUGUCCGGAUUCAUUGGGCGUAAAGAGCGUGUAGGCGGCCAGGUAGGUCGGUUGUGAAAACUGGAGGCUCAACCUUCAGAGGUCGACCGAAACCAUCUGGCUAGAGUCCGGGAGAGGAGAGUGGAAUUCCUGGUGUAGCGGUGAAAUGCGUAGAUAUUGGGAGGAACACCAGUGGCGAAGGCGGCUCGCUGGACCGGUUCUGACGCUGAUGCGCGAAAGCGUGGGGAGCAAACGGG